GCCGUUCUAACAUUGGCCAACGAUUAUAUCAUUCCUCCUAUUUCCAGUCUCCAAGAUGUGAGUGUCUUUCCUUUUUUAGCCCAAGCAGCAUUACUCAUGCACAAGAGGGAGCAACCAGCAGAUUCCGGGGAACCCUAAGUUUCGCAGAAAUUCAAUUCUAAAAAAACCUGCAGUGACAUUUUUUUUAAAAGGAAGGGGAGUUCUCCCCCACCCCAACAGCUCAAUGAUGAGUGCUAAACAUGAGCUACAAUCCAUUAGUUUUCCCAGACUCAGUUUACCCAACAGGCACAGAACAUUGACUGAUGGUUGUCUCACAGCAGAAACAAGUGGAACUGGAUUCGUGAAGGCAAAGGUGUUUGGAAGACAGAGUGACGCUGACUUACAAUUGCAUUAUAUAGGUUUACCCUAGAGCACACAUCUUUGUAUGUGUGACUACGCUGGAGACGCACGCUGCAAAAUUCAGGACUUUGACGGAGGCAGCAGCAGCAGUAGCAGUAGCA
Long non-coding RNA from Zootoca vivipara (common lizard), 500 nucleotides. RefSeq lists it as uncharacterized. The record is from RefSeq and is a predicted model, not a curated record. NCBI's taxonomy places the organism in Eukaryota, Metazoa, Chordata, Lepidosauria, Squamata, Lacertidae.